This 592-nucleotide ribosomal RNA is filed under the name uncultured cyanobacterium. Its description in RNAcentral is "bacterial SSU rRNA". It matches the Rfam family "Bacterial small subunit ribosomal RNA", at positions 909 to 1501 of the family's 1533-position model. The record is from RNAcentral. Lineage: Bacteria; Bacillati; Cyanobacteriota.
AUUGACGGGGGCCCGCACAAGCGGUGGAGUAUGUGGUUUAAUUCGAUGCAACGCGAAGAACCUUACCAGGGUUUGACAUCCUGCGAAUCUCUUGGAAACAGGAGAGUGCCUUCGGGAACGCAGUGACAGGUGGUGCAUGGCUGUCGUCAGCUCGUGUCGUGAGAUGUUGGGUUAAGUCCCGCAACGAGCGCAACCCACGUCUUUAGUUGCCAGCAUUUAGUUGGGCACUCUAGAGAGACUGCCGGUGAUAAACCGGAGGAAGGUGUGGAUGACGUCAAGUCAUCAUGCCCCUUACAUCCUGGGCUACACACGUACUACAAUGCUACGGACAAAGGGCAGCAAGUUCGCGAGGACAAGCAAAUCCCAUAAACCGUGGCUCAGUUCAGAUCGUAGGCUGCAACUCGCCUACGUGAANNNGGAAUCGCUAGUAAUCGCAGGUCAGCAUACUGCGGUGAAUACGUUCCCGGGCCUUGUACACACCGCCCGUCACACCAUGGAAGUUGGCCACGCCCGAAGCCGUUACUCCAACCCUUGUGGAGGAGGACGUCGAAGGUGGGGCUGAUGACUGGGGUGAAGNCGUAACAAGGUAACA